RNAcentral lists this long non-coding RNA (17352 nucleotides) under Xyrichtys novacula (pearly razorfish). Lineage: Eukaryota; Metazoa; Chordata; Actinopteri; Labriformes; Labridae. The record is from RNAcentral.
GGGUUUUCGGGCUUUCUGAAGGUAAUACCCGGGUUUUAGGUUAUGGGGCUAGGGUAAGGUUUUUGGCGUUAGGGUUAAAAUCACUGUCCAAAACCUUUGUAGGAACUCUUUUCCAACCUUCUGGAGUUAGUUAGACCAGAAAAAAAUGAAAAAUGAAAAAAAAAAUAUUUGGGGUUUUCGGGCUUCCUGAAGGUAACACCCGGGUUUUAGGUUUUAGGGCUAGGGUAAGGUUUAAUUUUUUUGGUGUUAGGGUUAAAAUCACUGUCCAAAACCUUUGUAGGAACUCUUUUCCAACGUUAUGGAGUUAGUUAGACCCAAAAGAAAUGAAAAAUGAAAAAAAAAUAUUUGGGGUUUUCGGGCUUUCUGAAGGUAAUACCCUGGUAUAAGGUUUUGGGACUAAUGUUAGGUUUAAGGUUUUUGGCGUUAGGGUUAAAAUCACUGUCCAAAACCUUUGUAGGAACUCUUUUCCAACCUUUUGGAGUUAGUUACACCAAAAAAAGAAAAAAAAAAGGAACAAGAAAUAUUUGGGGUUUUCAGGCUUCCUGAAGGUAAUACCCGGGUAUUAGGUAAUGGGGCUAGGGUAAGGUUUAAAUGUUUUUGGAGUUCGGGUUAAAAUCACUGUCCAAAACCUUUGUAGGAACUCUUUUCCAACCUUUUGGAGUUAGUUAGACCAAAAAGAAAUCAAAAAUAAAAAAACAUAUUUGGGGUGUUCGGGCUUCCUGAAGGUAAUACCCAGGUAUAAGGGUAAUGGGGCUAGGGUCAGGUUUAAGGUUUUUGGCGUGAGGGUUAAAAUCCCUGUCCAAAACCUUUGUAGCAACUCUUUUCCAACCUUUUGGAGUUAGUUAGACCAAAAAUAAACGAAAAAUGAAAAAAAAAUAUUUGGGGUUUUCGGUCUUCCUGAAGGUAUUAGAUUAUGGGGCUAGGGAAAGGUUUAAGGUUUUUGGCGUUAGGGUUAAAAUCACUGUCCAAAACCUUUUUAGGAACAUUUUUCAGACCUUAUGGAGUUAGUUACACCAAAAAAAAAAAAUGAAAAAUGAAAAAAAAAUAUUUGGGGUUUUCGGGCUUCCUGAAGGUAAUACCCGAAGUAUUAGGUUUUGGGGCUAGGGUAAGGUUUAAGUUUUUUAGCGUUAGGGCUAAAAUCCCUGUCCAAAACCUUUGUAGGAACUCUUUUCCAACCUUUUGGAGUUAGUUAGACCAAAAUAAAACAAAAAAUGAAAAAAAAAAUAUUUGGGGUGUUCGGGCUUCCUGAAGGUAAUACCCGGGUAUUAGGUUAUGGGGCUAGGGUAAGGUUUUUGGCGUUAGGGUUAAAAUCACUGUCCAAAACCUUUGUAGGAACUCUUUUCCAACCUUUUGGAGUUAGUUACACCAAAAAAAAAUUUUAAAAUGAAAAAGAAAUAUUUGGGGUGUUUGGGCUUCCUGAAGGUAAUACCCGGGUAUUAGGUUAUGGGGCUAGUGAAAGGUUUCAGGUUUUUGGCGUAAGGGUUAAAAUCACUGUCCAAAACCUUUGUAGGAACUCUUUUCCAACCUUUUGGAGUUAGUUAGACCAGAAAAAAAUGAAAAAUGAAAAAAAAAAUAUUUGGGGUUUUCGGGCUUUCUGAAGGUAACACCCGGGUAUUAGGUUUUGGGGCUAGGGUAAGGUUUAAGUUUUUUGGUGUUAGGGUUAAAAUCACUGUCCAAAACCUUUGUAGGAACUUCUUUCCAACCUUUUGGAGUUAGUUAAACCAAAAAAAAUUGUAAAAUGAAAAAGAAAUAUUUGGGGUGUUCGGGCUUCCUGAAGGUAAUACCCGGGUAUUAGGUUAUGGGGCUUUGGUAAGGUUUAAGGUUUUUGGCAUUAUGGUUAAAAUCACUGUCCAAAACCUUUGUAGGAACUCUUUUCCAACCUUUUGGAGUUAGUUAGACCAGAAAAAAAUGAAAAAUGAAAAAAAAUAUUUGGGGUUUUCGGUCUUUCUGAAGGUAACACCCGGGUAUUAGGUUUUGGGGCUAGGGUAAGGUUUAAGGUUUUUGGCGUUAGGGUUAAAAUCACUGUCCAAAACCUUUGUAGGAACUCCUUUCCAACCUUUUGGAGUUAGUUAAACCAAAAAAAAAAUUGAAAUAUGAAAAAGAAAUAUUUGGGGUGUUCGGGCUUCCUGAAGGUAAUACCCAGGUAUUAGGUUAUGGGGCUUUGGUAAGGUUUAAGGUUUUUGGCAUUAUGGUUAAAAUCACUGUCCAAAACCUUUGUAGGAACUCUUUUCCAACCUUUUGGAGUUAGUUAGACCUAAAAAAAACGAAAAGUGAAAAAAAAAUAUUUGGGGUGUUCGGGCUUCCUGAUGGUAAUAUGGGGCUAGGGUAAGGUUUAAGGUUUUGGCGUUAGGGUUAAAAUCACUGUCCAAAACCUUUGUAGGAACUCUUUUCCAACCUUUUGGAGUUAGUUACACCAAAAAAAAUAUUGUAAAAUGAAAAAGAAAUAUUUGGGGUUUUCGGGCUUUCUGAAGGUAAUACCUGGGUAUUAGGUUACGGGGCUAGGGAAAGGUUUAAGGUUUUUGGCGUUAGGGUUAAAAUCACUGUCCAAAACCUUUGUAGCAACUCUUUUCCAACGUUUUGGAGUUAGUUAGACCCAAAAGAUAUGAAAAAUGAAAAAAAAAUAUUGGGGGUUUUCGGGCUUUCUGAAGGUAAUACCCGGGUUUUAGGUUAUGGGGCUAGGGUAAGGUUUUUGGUGUUAGGGUUAAAAUCACUGUCCAAAACCUUUGUAGGAACUCUUUUCCAACCUUCUGGAGUUAGUUAGACCAGAAAAAAAUGAAAAAUGAAAAAAAAAAUAUUUGGGGUUUUCGGGCUUUCUGAAGGUAACACCCGGGUUUUAGGUUUUAGGGCUAGGGUAAGGUUUAAGGUUUUUGGCGUUAGGGUUAAAAUCACUGUCCAAAACCUUUGUAGGAACUCCUUUCCAACCUUUUGGAGUUAGUUAAACCAAAAAAAAAAUUGAAAUAUGAAAAAGAAAUAUUUGGGGUGUUCGGGCUUCCUGCAGGUAAUACCCAGGUAUUAGGUUAUGGGGCUUUGGUAAGGUUUAAGGUUUUUGGCAUUAUGGUUAAAAUCACUGUCCAAAACCUUUGUAGGAACUCUUUUCCAACCUUUUGGAGUUAGUUAGACCUAAAAAAAACGAAAAAUGAAAAAAAACUAUUUGGGGUGUUCGGGCUUCCUGAAGGUAAUACCCGGGUAUUAGGUUAUGGGGCUAGGGUAAGGUUUAAGGAUUUUGGCGUUAGGGUUAAAAUCACUGUCCAAAACCUUUGUAGGAACUCUUUUCCAACGUUUUGGAGUUAGUUAGACCGGAAAGAAAUGAAAAAUGAAAAAAAAAUAUUUGGGGUUUUCGGGCUUUCUGAAGGUAAUACCCGGGUAUUAGGUUACGGGGCUAGGGUAAGGUUUAAGGUUUUUGGCGUUAGGGUUAAAAUCACUGUCCAAAACCUUUGUAGGAACUCUUUUCCAACCUUUUGGAGUUAGUUAGACCAAAAUAAAACAAAAAAUGAAAAAAAAAUAUUUGGGGUGUUCAGUCUUCCUGAAGGUAAUACCCGGGUAUUAGGUUAUGGGGCUAGGGUAAGGUUUUUGGCGUUAGGGUUAAAAUCACUGUCCAAAACCUUUGUAGGAAAUCUUUUCCAACCUUUUGGAGUUAGUUACACCAAAAAAAAAAUUGUAAAAUGAAAAAGAAAUAUUUGGGGUGUUUGGGCUUCCUGAAGGUAAUACCCGGGUAUUAGGUUAUGGGGCUAGUGAAAGGUUUCAGGUUUUUGGCGUAAGGGUUAAAAUCACUGUCCAACACCUUUGAAGGAACUCUUUUCCAACCUUUUAGAGUUAGUUAGACCAGAAAAAAAAUGAAAAAUGAAAAAAAAAAUAUUUGGGGUUUUCGGGCUUUCUGAAGGUAACACCCGGGUAUUAGGUUUUGGGGCUAGGGUAAGGUUUAAGUUUUUUGGUGUUAGGGUUAAAAUCACUGUCCAAAACCUUUGUAGGAACUUCUUUCCAACCUUUUGGAGUUAGUUGAACCAAAAAAAAAUUGUAAAAUGAAAAAGAAAUAUUUGGGGUGUUCGGGCUUCCUGAAGGUAAUACCCAGGUAUUAGGUUAUGGGGCUUUGGUAAGGUUUAAGGUUUUUGGCAUUAUGGUUAAAAUCACUGUCCAAAACCUUUGUAGGAACUCUUUUCCAACGUUUUGGAGUUAGUUAGACCCAAAAGAAAUGAAAAAUGAAAAAAAAAUAUUUGGGGUUUUCGGGCUUUCUGAAGGUAAUACCCUGGUAUAAGGUUUUGGGACUAAUGUAAGGUUUAAGGUUUUUGGCGUUAGGGUUAAAAUCACUGUCCAAAACCUUUGUAGGAACUCUUUUCCAACCUUUUGGAGUUAGUUACACCAAAAAAAAUAUUGUAAAAUGAAAAAGAAAUAUUUGGGGUUUUCGGGCUUUCUGAAGGUAAUACCCUGGUAUAAGGUUAUGGGACUAAUGUAAGGUUUAAGGUUUUUGGCGUUAGGGUUAAAAUCACUGUCAAAACCUUUGUAGGAACUCUUUUCCAACCUUUUGGAGUUAGUUAGACCAAAAAAAGAAAAAAAAAAGGAACAAGAAAUAUUUCGGGUGUUCGGGCUUCCUGAAGGUAAUACCCGGGUAUUAGGUCAUGGGGCUAGGGUAAGGUUAAAGGUUUUUGGCGUUAGGGUUAAAAUCACUGUCCAAAACCUUUGUAGGAACUCUUUUCCAACCUUUUGGAGUUAGUUACACCAAAAAAAAAAACAAAAAAUGAAAAAAAAAUAUUUGGGGUGUUCGGUCUUCCUGAAGGUUAUACCCGGGUAUUAGGUUAUGGGGCUAGGGUAAGGUUUUUGGCGUUAGGGUUAAAAUCACUGUCCAAAACCUUUGUAGGAACUCUUUUCCAACCUUUUGGAGUUAGUUAGACCAGAAAAAAAUGAAAAAUGAAAAAAAAAAAUAUUUGGGGUUUUCGGUCUUUCUGAAGGUAACACCCGGGUAUUAGGUUACGGGGCUAGGGUAAGGUUUAAGGUUUUUGGCGUUAGGGUUAAAAUCACUGUCCAAAACCUUUGUAGGAACUCUUUUCCAACCUUUUGGAGUUAGUUAGACCAAAAUAAAACAAAAAAUGAAAAAAAAAUAUUUGGGGUGUUCAGUCUUCCUGAAGGUAAUACCCGGGUAUUAGGUUAUGGGGCUAGGGUAAGGUUUUUGGCGUUAGGGUUAAAAUCACUGUCCAAAACCUUUGUAGGAAAUCUUUUCCAACCUUUUGGAGUUAGUUACACCAAAAAAAAAAUUGUAAAAUGAAAAAGAAAUAUUUGGGGUGUUUGGGCUUCCUGAAGGUAAUACCCGGGUAUUAGGUUAUGGGGCUAGUGAAAGGUUUAAGGUUUUUGGCGUAAGGGUUAAAAUCACUGUCCAAAACCUUUGUAGGAACUCUUUUCCAACCUUUUGGAGUUAGUUAGACCAGAAAAAAAAUGAAAAAUGAAAAAAAAAAUAUUUGGGGUUUUCGGGCUUUCUGAAGGUAACACCCGGGUAUUAGGUUUUGGGGCUAGGGUAAGGUUUAAGUUUUUUGGUGUUAGGGUUAAAAUCACUGUCCAAAACCUUUGUAGGAACUUCUUUCCAACCUUUUGGAGUUAGUUGAACCAAAAAAAAAAUUGUAAAAUGAAAAAGAAAUAUUUGGGGUGUUCGGGCUUCCUGAAGGUAAUACCCAGGUAUUAGGUUAUGGGGCUUUGGUAAGGUUUAAGGUUUUUGGCAUGGUGGGUUAAAAUCACUGUCCAAAACCUUUGUAGGAACUUUUUUUCAACCUUUUGGAGUUAGACCCAAAAGAAAUGAAAAAUGAAAAAAAAAUAUUUGGGGUUUUCGUGCUUUCUGAAGGUAAUACCCUGGUAUAAGGUUUUGGGACUAAUGUAAGGUUUAAGGUUUUUGGCGUUAGGGUUAAAAUCACUGUCCAAAACCUUUGUAGGAACUCUUUUCCAACCUUUUGGAGUUAGUUACACCAAAAAAAAUAUUGUAAAAUGAAAAAGAAAUAUUUGGGGUUUUCGGGCUUUCUGAAGGUAAUACCCUGGUAUUAGGUUAUGGGACUAGGUAAGGUUUAAGGUUUUUGGCGUUAGGGUUAAAAUCACUGUCCAAAACCUUUGUAGGAACUCUUUUCCAACCUUUUGGAGUUAGUUACACCAAAAAAAGAAAAAAAAAAGGAACAAGAAAUAUUGCGGGUGUUCGGGCUUCCUGAAGGUAAUACCCAGGUAUUAGGUCAUGGGGCUAGGGUAAGGUUAAAGGUUUUUGGCGUUAGGGUUAAAAUCACUGUCCAAAACCUUUGUAGGAACUCUUUUCCAACCUUUUGGAGUUAGUUACACCAAAAAAAAAACAAAAAAUGAAAAAGAAAUAUUUGGGGUGUUCGGGCUUCCUGAAGGUUAUACCUGGGUAUUAGGUUAUGGGGCUAGGGUAAGGUUUUUGGCGUUAGGGUUAAAAUCACUGUCCAAAACCUUUGUAGGAACUCUUUUCCAACCUUUUGGAGUUAGUUAGACCAGAAAAAAAUGAAAAAUGAAAAAAAAAAUAUUUGGGGUUUUCGGUCUUUCUGAAGGUAACACCCGGGUAUUAGGUUUUGGGGCUAGGGUAAGGUUUAAGUUUUUUGGUGUUAGGGUUAAAAUCACUGUCCAAAACCUUUGUAGGAACUUCUUUCCAACCUUUUGGAGUUAGUUGAACCAAAAAAAAAUUGUAAAAUGAAAAAGAAAUAUUUGGGGUGUUCGGGCUUCCUGAAGGUAAUACCCAGGUAUUAGGUUAUGGGGCUUUGGUAAGGUUUAAGGUUUUUGGCAUUAUGGUUAAAAUCACUGUCCAAAACCUUUGUAGGAACUCUUUUCCAACGUUUUGGAGUUAGUUAGACCCAAAAGAAAUGAAAAAUGAAAAAAAAAUAUUGGGGGUUUUCGGGCUUUCUGAAGGUAAUACCCUGGUAUAAGGUUUUGGGACUAAUGUAAGGUUUAAGGUUUUUGGCGUUAGGGUUAAAAUCACUGUCCAAAACCUUUGUAGGAACUCUUUUCCAACCUUUUGGAGUUAGUUACACCAAAAAAAAUAUUGUAAAAUGAAAAAGAAAUAUUUGGGGUUUUCGGGCUUUCUGAAGGUAAUACCCUGGUAUAAGGUUAUGGGACUAAUGUAAGGUUUAAGGUUUUUGGCGUUAGGGUUAAAAUCACUGUCCAAAACCUUUGUAGGAACUCUUUUCCAACCUUUUGGAGUUAGUUACACCAAAAAAAGAAAAAAAAAAGGAACAAGAAAUAUUUGGGGUUUUCGGGCUUUCUGAAGGUAACACCCGGGUAUUAGGUUUUGGGGCUAGGGUAAGGUUUAAGGUUUUUGGCGUUAGGGUUAAAAUCACUGUCCAAAACCUUUGUAGGAACUCUUUUCCAACCUUUUGGAGUUAGUUACACCAAAAAAAAAAUUGUAAAAUGAAAAAGAAAUAUUUGGGGUUUUCGGGCUUUCUGAAGGUAAUACCCUGGUAUAAGGUUAUGGGACUAGGGUAAGGUUUAAGGUUUUUGGCGUUAGGGUUAAAAUCACUGUCCAAAACCUUUGUAGGAACUCUUUUCCAACCUUUUGGAGUUAGUUAGACCAAAAAAAAAAAAAAAAAAAAAGAAAUAUUUGGGGUGUUCGGUCUUCCUGAAGGUUAUACCUGGGUAUUAGGUUAUGGGGCUAGGGUAAGGUUUUUUUGGCGUUAGGGUUAAAAUCACUGUCCAAAACCUUUGUAGGAACUCUUUUCCAACCUUUUGGAGUUAGUUAGACCAGAAAAAAAUGAAAAAUGAAAAAAAAAAUAUUUGGGGUUUUCGGUCUUUCUGAAGGUAACACCCGGGUAUUAGGUUUUGGGGCUAGGGUAAGGUUUAAGGUUUUUGGCGUUAGGGUUAAAAUCACUGUCCAAAACCUUUGUAGGAACUCCUUUCCAACCUUUUGGAGUUAGUUAAACCAAAAAAAAAUUGAAAUAUGAAAAAGAAAUAUUUGGGGUGUUCGGGCUUCCUGCAGGUAAUACCCAGGUAUUAGGUUAUGGGGCUUUGGUAAGGUUUAAGGUUUUUGGCAUUAUGGUUAAAAUCACUGUCCAAAACCUUUGUAGGAACUCUUUUCCAACCUUUUGGAGUUAGUUAGACCUAAAAAAAACGAAAAAUGAAAAAAAAAUAUUUGGGGUGUUCGGGCUUCCUGAAGGUAAUACCCGGGUAUUAGGUUAUGGGGCUAGGGUAAGGUUUAAGGAUUUUGGCGUUAGGGUUAAAAUCACUGUCCAAAACCUUUGUAGGAACUCUUUUCCAACGUUUUGGAGUUAGUUAGACCGGAAAGAAAUGAAAAAUGAAAAAAAAAUAUUUGGGGUUUUCGGGCUUUCUGAAGGUAAUAACCCAGGUAUUAGGUUACGGGGCUAGGGUAAGGUUUAAGGUUUUUGGCGUUAGGGUUAAAAUCACUGUCCAAAACCUUUGUAGGAACUCUUUUCCAACGUUUUGGAGUUAGUUAGACCGGAAAGAAAUGAAAAAUGAAAAAAAAAUAUUUGGGGUUUUCGGGCUUUCUGAAGGUUUCUGCAGGUAAUACCCAGGUAUUAGGUUAUGGGGCUUUGGUAUGGUUUAAGGUUUUUUUGCAUUAGGGUUAAAAUCACUGUCCAAAACCUCUGUAGGAACUCUUUUCCAACCUUUUGGAGUUAGUUACACCAAAAAAAAAAUUGUAAAAUGAAAAAGAAAUAUUUGGGGUGUUUGGGCUUCCUGAAGGUAAUACCUGGGUAUUAGGUUAUGGGGCUAGUGAAAGGUUUCAGGUUUUUGGCGUAAGGGUUAAAAUCACUGUCCAAAACCUUUGUAGGAACUCGUUGAGUUAGUUAGACCUAAAAAAAACGAAAAAUGAAAAAAAAAUAUUUGGGGUGUUCGGGCUUCCUGAAGGUAAUACCCGGGUAUUAGGUUAUGGGGCUAGGGUAAGGUUUAAGGAUUUUGGCGUUAGGGUUAAAAUCACUGUCCAAAACCUUUGUAGGAACUCUUUUCCAAUGUUUUGGAGUUAGUUAGACCGGAAAGAAAUGAAAAAUGAAAAAAAAAUAUUUGGGGUUUUCGGGCUUUCUGAAGGUUUCUGCAGGUAAUACCCAGGUAUUAGGUUACGGGGCUAGGGUAAGGUUUAAGGUUUUUGGCGUUAGGGUUAAAAUCACUGUCCAAAACCUUUGUAGGAACUCUUUUCCAACCUUUUGGAGUUAGUUAGACCAAAAUAAAACAAAAAAUGAAAAAAAAAUAUUUGGGGUGUUCAGUCUUCCUGAAGGUAAUACCCGGGUAUUAGGUUAUGGGGCUAGGGUAAGGUUUUUGGCGUUAGGGUUAAAAUCACUGUCCAAAACCUUUGUAGGAACUCUUUUCCAACCUUUUGGAGUUAGUUAGACCAGAAAAAAAUGAAAAAUGAAAAAAAAAAAUAUUUGGGGUUUUCGGUCUUUCUGAAGGUAACACCCGGGUAUUAGGUUUUGGGGCUAGGGUAAGGUUUAAGUUUUUUGGUGUUAGGGUUAAAAUCACUGUCCAAAACCUUUGUAGGAACUUCUUUCCAACCUUUUGGAGUUAGUUGAACCAAAAAAAAAUUGUAAAAUGAAAAAGAAAUAUUUGGGGUGUUCGGGCUUCCUGAAGGUAAUACCCAGGUAUUAGGUUAUGGGGCUUUGGUAAGGUUUAAGGUUUUUGGCAUUAUGGUUAAAAUCACUGUCCAAAACCUUUGUAGGAACUCUUUUCCAACGUUUUGGAGUUAGUUAGACCCAAAAGAAAUGAAAAAUGAAAAAAAAAUAUUUGGGGUUUUCGGGCUUUCUGAAGGUAAUACCCUGGGUAUAAGGUUUUGGGACUAAUGUAAGGUUUAAGGUUUUUGGCGUUAGGGUUAAAAUCACUGUCCAAAACCUUUGUAGGAACUCUUUUCCAACCUUUUGGAGUUAGUUACACCAAAAAAAAUAUUGUAAAAUGAAAAAGAAAUAUUUGGGGUUUUCGGGCUUUCUGAAGGUAAUACCCUGGUAUAAGGUUAUGGGACUAAUGUAAGGUUUAAGGUUUUUGGCGUUAGGGUUAAAAUCACUGUCCAAAACCUUUGUAGGAACUCUUUUCCAACCUUUUGGAGUUAGUUAGACCAAAAAAAGAAAAAAAAAAGGAACAAGAAAUAUUUGGGGUUUUCGGGCUUUCUGAAGGUAACACCCGGGUAUUAGGUUUUGGGGCUAGGGUAAGGUUUAAGGUUUUUGGCGUUAGGGUUAAAAUCACUGUCCAAAACCUUUGUAGGAACUCUUUUCCAACCUUUUGGAGUUAGUUACACCAAAAAAAAAAUUGUAAAAUGAAAAAGAAAUAUUUGGGGUUUUCGGGCUUUCUGAAGGUAAUACCCUGGUAUAAGGUUAUGGGACUAGGGUAAGGUUUAAGGUUUUUGGCGUUAGGGUUAAAAUCACUGUCAAAACCUUUGUAGGAACUCUUUUCCAACCUUUUGGAGUUAGUUAGACCAAAAAAAGAAAAAAAAAAGGAACAAGAAAUAUUUCGGGUGUUCGGUCUUCCUGAAGGUUAUACCUGGGUAUUAGGUUAUGGGGCUAGGGUAAGGUUUUUUUGCGUUAGGGUUAAAAUCACUGUCCAAAACCUUUGUAGGAACUCUUUUCCAACCUUUUGGAGUUAGUUAGACCAGAAAAAAAUGAAAAAUGAAAAAAAAAAAUAUUUGGGGUUUUCGGUCUUUCUGAAGGUAACACCCGGGUAUUAGGUUUUGGGGCUAGGGUAAGGUUUAAGGUUUUUGGCGUUAGGGUUAAAAUCACUGUCCAAAACCUUUGUAGGAACUCCUUUUCCAACCUUUUGGAGUUAGUUAAACCAAAAAAAAAAUUGAAAUAUGAAAAAGAAAUAUUUGGGGUGUUCGAGCUUCCUGCAGGUAAUACCCAGGUAUUAGGUUAUGGGGCUUUGGUAAGGUUUAAGGUUUUUGGCAUUAUGGUUAAAAUCACUGUCCAAAACCUUUGUAGGAACUCUUUUCCAACCUUUUGGAGUUAGUUAGACCUAAAAAAAACGAAAAAUGAAAAAAAAAUAUUUGGGGUGUUCGGGCUUCCUGAAGGUAAUACCCGGGUAUUAGGUUAUGGGGCUAGGGUAAGGUUUAAGGAUUUUGGCGUUAGGGUUAAAAUCACUGUCCAAAACCUUUGUAGGAACUCUUUUCCAACGUUUUGGAGUUAGUUAGACCGGAAAGAAAUGAAAAAUGAAAAAAAAAUAUUUGGGGUUUUCGGGCUUUCUGAAGGUUUCUGCAGGUAAUACCCAGGUAUUAGGUUACGGGGCUAGGGUAAGGUUUAAGGUUUUUGGCGUUAGGGUUAAAAUCACUGUCCAAAACCUUUGUAGGAACUCUUUUCCAACGUUUUGGAGUUAGUUAGACCGGAAAGAAAUGAAAAAUGAAAAAAAAAUAUUUGGGGUUUUCGGGCUUUCUGAAGGUUUCUGCAGGUAAUACCCAGGUAUUAGGUUACGGGGCUAGGGUAAGGUUUAAGGUUUUUGGCGUUAGGGUUAAAAUCACUGUCCAAAACCUUUGUAGGAACUCUUUUCCAACCUUUUGGAGUUAGUUACACCAAAAAAAAAAUUGUAAAAUGAAAAAGAAAUAUUUGGGGUGUUUGGGCUUCCUGAAGGUAAUACCUGGGUAUUAGGUUAUGGGGCUAGUGAAAGGUUUCAGGUUUUUGGCGUAAGGGUUAAAAUCACUGUCCAAAACCUUUGUAGGAACUCGUGGAGUUAGUUAGACCUAAAAAAAACGAAAAAUGAAAAAAAAAUAUUUGGGGUGUUCGGGCUUCCUGAAGGUAAUACCCGGGUAUUAGGUUAUGGGGCUAGGGUAAGGUUUAAGGAUUUUGGCGUUAGGGUUAAAAUCACUGUCCAAAACCUUUGUAGGAACUCUUUUCCAAUGUUUUGGAGUUAGUUAGACCGGAAAGAAAUGAAAAAUGAAAAAAAAAUAUUUGGGGUUUUCGGGCUUUCUGAAGGUUUCUGCAGGUAAUACCCAGGUAUUAGGUUACGGGGCUAGGGUAAGGUUUAAGGUUUUUGGCGUUAGGGUUAAAAUCACUGUCCAAAACCUUUGUAGGAACUCUUUUCCAACCUUUUGGAGUUAGUUAGACCAAAAUAAAACAAAAAAUGAAAAAAAAAAUAUUUGGGGUGUUCAGUCUUCCUGAAGGUAAUACCCGGGUAUUAGGUUAUGGGGCUAGGGUAAGGUUUUUGGCGUUAGGGUUAAAAUCACUGUCCAAAACCUUUGUAGGAACUCUUUUCCAACCUUUUGGAGUUAGUUAGACCAAAAAAAGAAAAAAAAAAGGAACAAGAAAUAUUUCGGGUGUUCGGUCUUCCUGAAGGUUAUACCUGGGUAUUAGGUUAUGGGGCUAGGGUAAGGUUUUUUUGCGUUAGGGUUAAAAUCACUGUCCAAAACCUUUGUAGGAACUCUUUUCCAACCUUUUGGAGUUAGUUAGACCAGAAAAAAAUGAAAAAUGAAAAAAAAAAUAUUUGGGGUUUUCGGUCUUUCUGAAGGUAACACCCGGGUAUUAGGUUUUGGGGCUAGGGUAAGGUUUAAGGUUUUUGGCGUUAGGGUUAAAAUCACUGUCCAAAACCUUUGUAGGAACUCCUUUCCAACCUUUUGGAGUUAGUUAAACCAAAAAAAAAAUUGAAAUAUGAAAAAGAAAUAUUUGGGGUGUUCGAGCUUCCUGCAGGUAAUACCCAGGUAUUAGGUUAUGGGGCUUUGGUAAGGUUUAAGGUUUUUGGCAUUAUGGUUAAAAUCACUGUCCAAAACCUUUGUAGGAACUCUUUUCCAACCUUUUGGAGUUAGUUAGACCUAAAAAAAACGAAAAAUGAAAAAAAAAUAUUUGGGGUGUUCGGGCUUCCUGAAGGUAAUACCCGGGUAUUAGGUUAUGGGGCUAGGGUAAGGUUUAAGGAUUUUGGCGUUAGGGUUAAAAUCACUGUCCAAAACCUUUGUAGGAACUCUUUUCCAACGUUUUGGAGUUAGUUAGACCGGAAAGAAAUGAAAAAUGAAAAAAAAAUAUUUGGGGUUUUCGGGCUUUCUGAAGGUUUCUGCAGGUAAUACCCAGGUAUUAGGUUACGGGGCUAGGGUAAGGUUUAAGGUUUUUGGCGUUAGGGUCAAAAUCACUGUCCAAAACCUUUGUAGGAACUCUUUUCCAACGCUUUGGAGUUAGUUAGACCGGAAAGAAAUGAAAAAUGAAAAAAAAAUAUUUGGGGUUUUCGGGCUUUCUGAAGGUUUCUGCAGGUAAUACCCAGGUAUUAGGUUACGGGGCUAGGGUAAGGUUUAAGGUUUUUGGCGUUAGGGUUAAAAUCACUGUCCAAAACCUUUGUAGGAACUCUUUUCCAACCUUUUGGAGUUAGUUACACCAAAAAAAAAAUUGUAAAAAUGAAAAAGAAAUAUUUGGGGUGUUUGGGCUUCCUGAAGGUAAUACCUGGGUAUUAGGUUAUGGGGCUAGUGAAAGGUUUCAGGUUUUUGGCGUAAGGGUUAAAAUCACUGUCCAAAACCUUUGUAGGAACUCGUUGAGUUAGUUAGACCUAAAAAAAACGAAAAAUGAAAAAAAAAUAUUUGGGGUGUUCGGGCUUCCUGAAGGUAAUACCCGGGUAUUAGGUUAUGGGGCUAGGGUAAGGUUUAAGGAUUUUGGCGUUAGGGUUAAAAUCACUGUCCAAAACCUUUGUAGGAACUCUUUUCCAAUGUUUUGGAGUUAGUUAGACCGGAAAGAAAUGAAAAAUGAAAAAAAAAUAUUUGGGGUUUUCGGGCUUUCUGAAGGUUUCUGCAGGUAAUACCCAGGUAUUAGGUUACGGGGCUAGGGUAAGGUUUAAGGUUUUUGGCGUUAGGGUUAAAAUCACUGUCCAAAACCUUUGUAGGAACUCUUUUCCAACCUUUUGGAGUUAGUUAGACCAAAAUAAAACAAAAAAUGAAAAAAAAAUAUUUGGGGUGUUCAGUCUUCCUGAAGGUAAUACCCGGGUAUUAGGUUAUGGGGCUAGGGUAAGGUUUUUGGCGUUAGGGUAAAAAUCACUGUCCAAAACCUUUGUAGGAACUCUUUUCCAACCUUUUGGAGUUAGUUACACCAAAAAAAAAAUUGUAAAAUGAAAAAGAAAUAUUUGGGGUGUUUGGGCUUCCUGAAGGUAAUACCUGGGUAUUAGGUUAUGGGGCUAGUGAAAGGUUUCAGGUUUUUGGCGUAAGGGUUAAAAUCACUGUCCAAAACCUUUGUAGGAACUCUUUUCCAACCUUUUAGAGUUAGUUAGACCAGAAAAAAAAUGAAAAAUGAAAAAAAAAAUAUUUGGGGUUUUCGGGCUUUCUGAAGGUAACACCCGGGUAUUAGGUUUUGGGGCUAGGGUAAGGUUUAAGUUUUUUGGUGUUAGGGUUAAAAUCACUGUCCAAAACCUUUGUAGGAACUUCUUUCCAACCUUUUGGAGUUAGUUAAACCAAAAAAAAAUUGUAAAAUGAAAAAGAAAUAUUUGGGGUGUUCGGGCUUCCUGAAGGUAAUACCCAGGUAUUAGGUUAUGGGGCUUUGGUAAGGUUUAAGGUUUUUGGCAUUAUGGUUAAAAUCACUGUCCAAAACCUUUGUAGGAACUCUUUUCCAACCUUUUGGAGUUAGUUAGACCUAAAAAAAAAACGAAAAAUGAAAAAAAAAUGUUUGGGGUGUUCGGGCUUCCUGAAGGUAAUACCCGGGUAUUAGGUUAUGGGGCUUGGGUAAGGUUUAAGUUUUUUGGCGUUAGGGUUAAAAUCACUGUCCAAAACCUUUGUAGGAACUCUUUUCCAAUGUUUUGGAGUUAGUUAGACCCGAAAGAAAUGAAAAAUGAAAAAAAAAAAUUUGGGGUUUUCGGGCUUUCUGAAGGUAAUACCCGGGUUUUAGGUUAUGGGGCUAGGAAAAGGUUUAAGGUUUUUGGCGUUAGGGUUAAAAUCCCUGUCCAAAACCUUUGUAGGAACUAUUUUCCAACCUUUUGGAGUUAGUUAGACAAAAAUAAAACAAAAAAUGAAAAAAAAAUAUUUGGGGUUUUCGGGCUUUCUGAAGGUAAUACCCUGGUAUAAGGUUUUGGGACUAAUGUAAGGUUUAAGGUUUUUGGCGUUAGGGUUAAAAUCACUGUCCAAAACCUUUGUAGGAACUCUUUUCCAACCUUUUGGAGUUAGUUACACCAAAAAAAAUAUUGUAAAAUGAAAAAGAAAUAUUUGGGGUUUUCGGGCUUUCUGACGGUAAUACCCUGGUAUAAGGUUAUGGGACUAAUGUAAGGUUUAAGGUUUUUGGCGUUAGGGUUAAAAUCACUGUCAAAACCUUUGUAGGAACUCUUUUCCAACCUUUUGGAGUUAGACCAAAAAAAGAAAAAAAAAAGGAACAAGAAAUAUUUCGGGUGUUCGGGCUUCCUGAAGGUAAUAGCCGGGUAUUAGGUCAUGGGGCUAGGGUAAGGUUAAAGGUUUUUGGCGUUAGGGUUAAAAUCACUGUCCAAAACCUUUGUAGGAACUCUUUUCCAACCUUUUGGAGUUAGUUACACCAAAACAAAAAAACAAAAAAUGAAGAAAAAAAGUAUUUGGGGUGUUCGGUCUUCCUGAAGGUUAUACCCGGGUAUUAGGUUAUGGGGCUAGGGUAAGGUUUUUGGCGUUAGGGUUAAAAUCACUGUCCAAAACCUUUGUAGGAACUCUUUUCCAACCUUUUGGAGUUAGUCAGACCAGAAAAAAAUGAAAAAUGAAAAAAAAGAAUAUUUGGGGUUUUUGGUCUUUCUGAAGGUAACACCCGGGUAUUAGGUUUUGGGGCUAGGAUAAGGUUUAAGGUUUUUGGCGUUAGGGUUAAAAUCACUGUCCAAAACCUUUGUAGGAACUCCUUUCCAACCUUUUGGAGUUAGUUAAACCAAAAAAAAAAUUGAAAUAUGAAAAAGAAAUAUUUGGGGUGUUCGGGCUUCCUGAAGGUAAUACCCAGGUAUUAGGUUAUGGGGCUUUGGUAAGGUUUAAGGUUUUUGGCAUUAUGGUUAAAAUCACUGUCCAAAACCUUUGUAGGAACUCUUUUCCAACCUUUUGGAGUUAGUUAGACCUAAAAAAAACGAAAAGUGAAAAAAAAAUAUUUGGGGUGUUCGGGCUUCCUGAUGGUAAUACCCGGGUAUUAGGUUAUGGGGCUAGGGUAAGGUUUAAGGAUUUUGGCGUUAGAGUUAAAAUCACUGUCCAAAACCUUUGUAGGAACUCUUUUCCAACCUUUUGGAGUUAGUUAGACCAAAAUAAAACAAAAAAUGAAAAAAAAAUAUUUGGGGUUUUGGGGCUUCCUGAAGGUAAUACCCGGGUAUUAGGUUAUGGGGCUAGGGUAAGGUUUUUGGCGUUAGGGUUAAAAUCACUGUCCAAAACCUUUGUAGGAACUCUUUUCCAACCUUUUGGAGUUAGUUACACCAAAAAAAAUAUUGUAAAAUGAAAAAGAAAUAUUUGGGGUUUUCGGGCUUUCUGACGGUAAUACCCUGGUAUAAGGUUAUGGGACUAAUGUAAGGUUUAAGGUUUUUGGCGUUAGGGUUAAAAUCACUGUCAAAACCUUUGUAGGAACUCUUUUCCAACCUUUUGGAGUUAGACCAAAAAAAGAAAAAAAAAAGGAACAAGAAAUAUUUCGGGUGUUCGGGCUUCCUGAAGGUAAUAGCCGGGUAUUAGGUCAUGGGGCUAGGGUAAGGUUAAAGGUUUUUGGCGUUAGGGUUAAAAUCACUGUCCAAAACCUUUGUAGGAACUCUUUUCCAACCUUUUGGAGUUAGUUACACCAAAACAAAAAAACAAAAAAUGAAGAAAAAAAGUAUUUGGGGUGUUCGGUCUUCCUGAAGGUAAUACCCGGGUAUUAGGUUAUGGGGCUAGUAAGGUAAGGUUUUUGGCGUUAGGGUUAAAAUCACUGUCCAAAACCUUUGUAGGAACUCUUUUCCAACCUUUUGGAGUUAGUUAGACCAGAAAAAAAUGAAAAAUGAAAAAAAAAAUAUUUGGGGUUUUCGGUCUUUCUGAAGGUAACACCCGGGUAUUAGGUUUUGGGGCUAGGAUAAGGUUUAAGGUUUUUGGCGUUAGGGUUAAAAUCACUGUCCAAAACCUUUGUAGGAACUCCUUUCCAACCUUUUGGAGUUAGUUAAACAAAAAAAAAAUUGAAAUUUGAAAAAGAAAUAUUUGGGGUGUUCGGGCUUUCUGAAGGUAAUACCCAGGUAUUAGGUUAUGGGGCUUUGGUAAGGUUUAAGGUUUUUGGCAUUAUGGUUAAAAUCACUGUCCAAAACCUUUGUAGGAACUCUUUUCCAACCUUUUGGAGUUAGUUAGACCUAAAAAAAACGAAAAGUGAAAAAAAAAUAUUUGGGGUGUUCGGGCUUCCUGAUGGUAAUACCCGGGUAUUAGGUUAUGGGGCUAGGGUAAGGUUUAAGGUUUUUGGCGUUAGGGUUAAAAUCACUGUCCAAAACCUUUGUAGGAACUCUUUUCCAACCUUUUGGAGUUAGUUAGACCAAAAUAAAACAAAAAAUGAAAAAAAAAUAUUU